GGGUGGAUUAGUGGCGAACGGGUGAGUAACACGUGGGCAAUCUGCCCUUCACUCCGGGACAAGCCUUGGAAACGAGGUCUAAUACCGGAUAACACUCUGUCCCGCAUGGGACGGGGUUAAAAGCUCCGGCGGUGAAGGAUGAGCCCGCGGCCUAUCAGCUUGUUGGUGGGGUAAUGGCCUACCAAGGCGACGACGGGUAGCCGGCCUGAGAGGGCGACCGGCCACACUGGGACUGAGACACGGCCCAGACUCCUACGGGAGGCAGCAGUGGGGAAUAUUGCACAAUGGGCGAAAGCCUGAUGCAGCGACGCCGCGUGAGGGAUGACGGCCUUCGGGUUGUAAACCUCUUUCAGCAGGGAAGAAGCGCAAGUGACGGUACCUGCAGAAGAAGCACCGGCUAACUACGUGCCAGCAGCCGCGGUAAUACGUAGGGUGCGAGCGUUGUCCGGAAUUAUUGGGCGUAAAGAGCUCGUAGGCGGNUUGUCACGUCGGAUGUGAAAGCCCGGGGCUUAACCCCGGGUCUGCAUUCGAUACGGGCUAGCUAGAGUGUGGUAGGGGAGAUCGGAAUUCCUGGUGUAGCGGUGAAAUGCGCAGAUAUCAGGAGGAACACCGGUGGCGAAGGCGGAUCUCUGGGCCAUUACUGACGCUGAGGAGCGAAAGCGUGGGGAGCGAACAGGAUUAGAUACCCUGGUAGUCCACGCCGUAAACGUUGGGAACUAGGUGUU
RNAcentral lists this ribosomal RNA (725 nucleotides) under Streptomyces sp. Its description in RNAcentral is "bacterial SSU rRNA". It matches the Rfam family "Bacterial small subunit ribosomal RNA", at positions 85 to 824 of the family's 1533-position model. Lineage: Bacteria; Bacillati; Actinomycetota; Actinomycetes; Kitasatosporales; Streptomycetaceae. The record is from RNAcentral.